GAUGAAGAACGUAGCGAAAUGCGAUAAGUAAUGUGAAUUGCAGAAUUCAGUGAAUCAUCGAAUCUUUGAACGCACAUUGCGCCCCCUGGUAUUCCGGGGGGCAUGCCUGUUCGAGCGUCAUUUCACCACUCAAGCCUCGCUUGGUAUUGGGCAACGCGGUCCGCCGCGUGCCUCAAAUCGACCGGCUGGGUCUUCUGUCCCCUAAGCGUUGUGGAAACUUUCGCUAAAGGGUGUUCGGGAGGCUACGCCGUAAAAUAACCCCAUUUCUAAGGUUGACCUCGGAUCAGGUAGGGAUACCCGCUGAACUUAAGCAUAUCAAUAAGCGGAGGA
RNAcentral lists this unclassified non-coding RNA (330 nucleotides) under soil metagenome. RNAcentral describes it as "partial contains 5.8S ribosomal RNA, internal transcribed spacer 2, and large subunit ribosomal RNA". The stretch from base 1 to 120 matches the Rfam family "5.8S ribosomal RNA", at positions 35 to 154 of the family's 154-position model. The record is from RNAcentral.